AGUAAAAAAAAAAAAAAAAAAAGGUCCGCAACUGGUAUAUAUAAAAGGAGCAGUAACAUUAUUGUUUAUUUCCUAAAUGGCAAGUUGGGAUGAUGAUAUACUCAUAUUCCUUCAAAUGAAUCAAUCCCAUUUUUUAACCUGAAUCCCUUGUUUGCUUACAUCUAUCUGCCUACCCCAUACAUUUCUCUACCCAUAACUCCCACAAAUUAAUUAACAUUAAACACAUUGACCAGGAGAUUCGAUUCUAUGGGCUCUACGAGAAAAAAAACAAAAA
Molecule: unclassified non-coding RNA, 274 nt
Filed under: Hevea brasiliensis (rubber tree)
Lineage: Eukaryota; Viridiplantae; Streptophyta; Magnoliopsida; Malpighiales; Euphorbiaceae
Source: RNAcentral